RNAcentral lists this ribosomal RNA (489 nucleotides) under uncultured bacterium. Its description in RNAcentral is "partial 16S ribosomal RNA". It matches the Rfam family "Bacterial small subunit ribosomal RNA", at positions 28 to 523 of the family's 1533-position model. The record is from RNAcentral.
GACGAACGCUGGCGGCGUGCUUAACACAUGCAAGUCGAGCGGAAAGGCCCUUUCGGGGGUACUCGAGCGGCGAACGGGUGAGUAACACGUGAGUAAUCUGCCCUUGGCUUUGGGAUAACCACCGGAAACGGUGGCUAAUACCGGAUAUGACGCGCUCCGGCAUCGGGGUGUGUGGAAAGUUUUUUCGGCCAGGGAUGUGCUCGCGGCCUAUCAGCUUGUUGGUGGGGUAAUGGCCUACCAAGGCUUCGACGGGUAGCCGGCCUGAGAGGGUGACCGGCCACACUGGGACUGAGAAACGGCCCAGACUCCUACGGGAGGCAGCAGUGGGGAAUAUUGGACAAUGGGCGGAAGCCUGAUCCAGCAACGCCGCGUGAGGGAUGACGGCCUUCGGGUUGUAAACCUCUUUCAGUACCGACGAAGCGCCGAUGAUGGUGGUGACGGUAGGUACAGAAGAAGCACCGGCCAACUACGUGCCAGCAGCCGCAGUAA